RNAcentral lists this ribosomal RNA (254 nucleotides) under uncultured bacterium. RNAcentral's name for it is "partial 16S ribosomal RNA". It matches the Rfam family "Bacterial small subunit ribosomal RNA", at positions 524 to 776 of the family's 1533-position model. The record is from RNAcentral.
UACGGAGGGGGCAAGCGUUGUUCGGAAUUACUGGGCGUAAAGGGCGCGCAGGCGGCUGCUCAAGUCAGGCGUGAAAGGCCUGGGCUCAACCCGGGAAUUGCGCUUGAGACUGGGCUGGCUUGAGUGCGGGAGAGGAUGGUGGAAUUCCCAGUGUAGAGGUGAAAUUCGUAGAUAUUAGGAAGAACACCGGUGGCGAAGGCGGCCCACUGGUCCGGUACUGACGCUGAGGUGCGAAAGCGUGGGGAGCAAACAGG